ACUGAGUGAAUCCCUCAGGUGGUCUUGGA
Molecule: non-coding RNA, 29 nt
Filed under: Homo sapiens (human)
Lineage: Eukaryota; Metazoa; Chordata; Mammalia; Primates; Hominidae
Source: RNAcentral